This is a non-coding RNA of Danio rerio (zebrafish), 435 nucleotides long. Lineage: Eukaryota; Metazoa; Chordata; Actinopteri; Cypriniformes; Danionidae. The record is from the annotation of a RefSeq genome assembly.
AUGUUGCUCCUGGUAUUGACUAUAUUUUAUCUUCUAAAAGGGGAUGCUGGUGAGGAAGUGAUAUCAUCACUGUCCACAGAACAGAUUGUUUUGGCUGGAAAAAAUGCCACACUUUCCUGCAAAUACAAUGGCAAUGUUUACAAUUUGCAGUGGUAUCGACAGUAUCCCGGAUCCAAACCUGAGAAUAUCAUUUUUCACACUGAGAGCAAAAAUCAGUCAGACUUCAAGCUUCGCCUGCUUGCUGUGGGUGAGAAAGGAAUGAAACGUAUGAAUUUGAGCAUAUUUCAUACAGAGAUGCAGGAUUCUGCUCUUUACUACUGUGCCCUGCAGCCCACAGUGACAGGAAACACAGAAACACUCAACAAAAACAGAAUGAUUAUAAAUAAAAGAAUAAAACAAACUUUACAACAAAUUAAACAAUACAGAAUGACGUGA